CUCACCCCUGAAAUCUGGCACUUUCAGUGUCCGAGUUGUAAUUUGAAGAAGGUAUCUUUGGGUCUGGCUCUUGUCUAUGUUUCUUGGAACAGAACGUCACAGAGGGUGAGAAUCCCGUGCGAUGAGAUGUCCCAGACCUAUGUAAAGUUCCUUCGAAGAGUCGAGUUGUUUGGGAAUGCAGCUCUAAGUGGGUGGUAAAUUCCAUCUAAAGCUAAAUAUUGGCGAGAGACCGAUAGCGAACAAGUACAGUGAUGGAAAGAUGAAAAGAACUUUGAAAAGAGAGUGAAAAAGUACGUGAAAUUGUUGAAAGGGAAGGGCUUGAGAUCAGACUUGGUAUUUUGUAUGUUACUCUCUCGGGGGUGGCCUCUACAGUUUACCGGGCCAGCAUCAGUUUGAGCGGUAGGAUAAGUGCAAAGAAAUGUGGCACUGCUUCGGUAGUGUGUUAUAGUCUUUGUCGAUACUGCCAGCUUAGACUGAGGACUGCGGCUUCGGCCUAGGAUGUUGGCAUAAUGAUCUUAAGUCGC
RNAcentral lists this ribosomal RNA (524 nucleotides) under Lodderomyces parapsilosis. RNAcentral describes it as "Candida parapsilosis partial large subunit ribosomal RNA". It matches the Rfam family "Eukaryotic large subunit ribosomal RNA", at positions 108 to 648 of the family's 3401-position model. Lineage: Eukaryota; Fungi; Ascomycota; Pichiomycetes; Serinales; Debaryomycetaceae. The record is from RNAcentral.